UGACAGGACAUUGCUGAAUGGAACCAGA
Molecule: non-coding RNA, 28 nt
Filed under: Mus musculus (house mouse)
Lineage: Eukaryota; Metazoa; Chordata; Mammalia; Rodentia; Muridae
Source: RNAcentral